AACAUUGAUUCACCCGGACUCUUUCGGUUACAAGUGUCAGAAACUAAACUUACUGAGUUAAGCCAAACUGGAACAAUGGGUUCAAACAGCAGAGAAGUCCAGGAGUAAGCUGGCCCAGGAAGCCCAGUGACUUAGACAAUGUGAUUACAUUUUACCAUCUCCCUCUAUCUCCAAGCUCAGGUUCUACCUGUUGUCCUCUUCCUUUUCUAUAGAUUGGCUUCUUCCUCAUGGCCAGGUUGAAUGAGAAAAUGGUAAAAGAGGUGUGGAUGCAGACAACUCUAGGCGUUCAUUUCCUACUUAGUAACACCAGAGCUUCUCUAUUCCAUUGUCUCUCUCUAUGAAACUGCAGGGAAGAACUCUGAUUGGCCUGAAUUGGGUCAUGUGCUCAUCCCUGUGGCCAUGGAAACCAGUUACUAUGAUUGGCCAGGCCUACUUUUUAUGUUCAUUCCUAUGGCUGCAGGGCCAUGUCCUGCGAUUGGCAGCUCCUCACAACCACAUGGAGUGGAAGAGCUGUCCCUAGAAAUAAGGUGCUUGGUAUUCUGAGAGCCUCUCUGUUGCCACUGUGCUCUUUCUUUCCUGGACAACUGCAGCCACCAUAGUCCUGCGCCCUCACCUCCAGUUGAGCUCUCCUCCAGGCCAUGCUGCACCAGCAAGUCAGAUCAUGCCACUCCCCGUCUUUGAGGAGCAAUUGCUUGAAAACCUGUGAUAGCAAAACUGUACAAGUGGGGAGAUUAUUUGAUUUCCAAGAUAUAACCAAUCAUGCUGUCCCCAGAACUGCCCGGGAAGAAACUCCCAAUCUGAGAACAGGCACAUGGCUCGAAUUAUCAGAAAAGUCGCUGAGAUAAGACAUGCAUGAUCUCCUUCCUAAAGAGGACAAGAAUGACAGCCACAUCAUCUGGAGAAGGCAGCCAGGGAAGUACUCAAGAGAAAACACUUCUGUGGGUGACUUGAAGAAGCUGGUCACCAUAUGGUUGUGGACCAAGCUUCACCUUUUUGCAGAUUUCUGUUCCAGCAAGUUACUCCCCCAGAUCCCACCUAUUUUAAAAGCAACUCCCAGAGAAAGAAAGGCUUGGCAGCCAACAGAUGACCACCACAUUCUCUCCCACAAGUCAUCUGAUUUCAAAAGGCAAGUUCUGUUCACAGGAAGGAGAGUAUCCAUACAAGUCCAAGUUCAGUGAGAGGGACUGUCCUGUAACCUGGAAGCCAAGGACUGGAAUGCCCUCAUUGACUUAUUCUGAUUCAUAAACUUUAAAUUACUAAAAGAGGUUAACAACUUCAACAUGUGGCAUAAUCCAGCGAUUAAUUUGUUCAAAUAAGAGAAAAAAGUUUAACUUUGUAACAAUAAUAUGAACACAAAAACAUUUCCUGGGAGCAAAAAAAAAAGUGGCUUUGAAAUUCUGCCUUUUAUCUUCCUGGGAAAAGCAAGAGCUUACAAACUGGGGUGGGGGGGAAGGUUUCUUUUUGGUAAACUCAUAGGCCUUUGGCCACUGCUUCCCUUCCACCUCAAUUGUUUUCUUCUGAUCUAUGCAUUGACCAUGUAGAAAUGUUCAAAUGAAAGCACCCGGUCAUUUUUACUUAUCUUUCUUAUUUUUUCUAGAAAGAGGCCUUGAUAUAUUCUAGUUUCACAAGUGAUUUUGCUAGAUUUUUGCCAUUACGAAUCUGUUUCGCUUUAACUGCAAACCACCUGAUUCUGAUUUUCCCUAGCCAUAAAUCUGAAUUUUUACUACAUUUUAUCUGAGAUUCACAACAGAUGGGCUAUGAACCAAGAAAAAUACAAUGGGAGGAAAGAAAAGAUAAAAUUAUUGGGCAACGACUACACAGAAGAUGGACCAACCCUGAGACAGGAUAUAAAGAAGGGUGAAGGGGGUAGUCCCAGUGAAGUAGAAAGAAGAAAACCAUUUUCUUCAUAAAACUAUAGAAACAGCAGUGUUUACCUUUAGUGUUGUUGCUACGCAGAAGAAGAGAAGGUAUCUUGGCAUUUUAUCAACCAUAUUUUUAUGUACUGCCAUCAAGAAUUUCUUUUCACUGCCUCCAUAUAUUUCUUGGUCAGGCAACCAUUUUCAAUGAUACUAAAUCCAUCUACUCCCAUAUAUCUGGCCCAGAACAACUCAAUCAGACAUUUUUUUAAACCAGCCCUAUGAAAAGAUGUUUUGCAAAGCUAAUGACCAACCAAUCCUGAGGAUAGCCAUCCACACAUUUUAGUGAAAGGACAGGUUAGAGAAGAAUCACUUGACUAAAGAAAUGCUUACAAUGGGCUGGGCCGGUGGCUCAUGCCUGUAAUCCUAGCACUUUGGGAGGACGAGGCAGGUGUAUCACCUGAGGUCAGGAAUUCACCAUCAGCCUGGCCAACAUGGCAAAACCCUGUCUCUACUAAAAAUACAAAAAUUAUCCAGGCAUGGUGUUACAUACCUGUAAUCCCAGCUACAUGGGAGGCUGAGGCAGGAGAAUCAUUUGAACCCAGGAGGCGGAGAUUGCAGUGAGCCGAGAUUGUACCACUGCACUCCAGCCUGUGUGACAGGAGUGAGACUCCAUCUCAAAAAAAAAAAAAAGAAAGGAAAGAAAAGCCUACAAUGUUAAAGGUUAUGCUAACAUUUAUGGCCAAAGGCAGAAGGGCAAUAUAUAUACUAUGAUACAAAAGAUUUACAUAGGAAAAGUUCAGUUCACCAGAUAUGCACUCUGUACAUGAUGCCAACCAGGUUACUUGAAAGUCACACAUUAAAACAGCUGUCUUCACAUUUGCUAGUUGCUAUCUAAUUUCUAUAGGGUCUUGGUCCUGUAAAAUUUUUCUAAUAUACAUUAUUGGGUUUUUUAAAAUCUUUUAAUAGAAAUUCAAGAGUGAGUAUUUACUGCCUAUAUCUGAUAGAAGAAUCCCAUUUCUCAUGAGAAAAUCAAUGGAUAAAACUCAGCAUUUCUUCAAAACCAAAACUUCCUUUAUCAAAACCUGUAGAAUACAGGUUUCAGCAAAAUUCGUAAAAGAUUCAGAUCAAAUUUCGGUUUCUUAUUGAUUUUCAGGAGGAUUAAUCUCUUUUAUAUUAAAAGUUCA
Molecule: long non-coding RNA, 3043 nt
Organism: Rhinopithecus bieti (black snub-nosed monkey)
Lineage: Eukaryota; Metazoa; Chordata; Mammalia; Primates; Cercopithecidae
Source: Ensembl